GACGAACGCUGGCGGCGUGGAUUAGGCAUGCAAGUCGGACGUAGGGCUUUAUCGUAAGAUAGAGUUUGAGAGUGGCGAAUGGGUGAGUAACACGUAGGAAUCUACCCUUAAGACGGGGACAACCCAGGGAAACUUGGGCUAAUACCGGAUGAGAGUGCGAGAGAUUGCAUUUAAAAGGAUGGCGAAAGUUAUCGCUUAGGGAUGAGCCUGCGGUCUAUUAGUUAGUUGGUGGGGUAAGAGCUCACCAAGGCGAUGAUAGAUAGGCGGCCUUAACGGGUGGUCGCCCACACUGGGAUUGAGAUACGGCCCAGACUCCUACGGGAGGCAGCAGUCGAGAAUAGUCUACAAUGGCCGGAAGGCUGAUAGUGCGACGCCGCGUGAACGAGGGAGCCCUUCGGGGUGUAAAGUUCUUUUCUAUACGAGCAGUGCUAUAUAUAUGGAUAGUAUAUAUAGAGGGAUAGUAGUAUAGGAAUAAGCAACGGCUAACUCCGUG
This 493-nucleotide ribosomal RNA is filed under the name uncultured bacterium. RNAcentral's name for it is "bacterial SSU rRNA". It matches the Rfam family "Bacterial small subunit ribosomal RNA", at positions 28 to 507 of the family's 1533-position model. The record is from RNAcentral.